Molecule: unclassified non-coding RNA, 2486 nt
Filed under: Portunus trituberculatus (swimming crab)
Lineage: Eukaryota; Metazoa; Arthropoda; Malacostraca; Decapoda; Portunidae
Description: solute carrier organic anion transporter family member 74D-like, transcript variant X3
Source: RNAcentral
GAGAGAGAGAGAGAGAGAGAGAGAGAGAGAGAGAGAGAGAUACACACACAGAGAGAGGGAGGUAGAGGACAGUAUGUAAUCACCCACACCUACGACCACACUCACCUACUGUACCUGAACCACCCUGGACACGAGAUGAUAGCCAAGAAGAAGCGACGUGCGGAGAAUGGCAGUGGUGAAGGAGGAUGCGAGGAUGGUAGCAGAACCGGGAUGACGAAGGAGGAAGAGGAGGCUAAACUGCGACAGCUCUUCUCUGCCGAGGACUACGAGGAGACACGCUGUGGCUUGGGUCCCUGCACUCCUUCGUGGCUGCAGAAGUACGCCACGAAGGAGGUGUACAUGCUGGUGUACUGCCUGGUGGGGUUGACGCAGGGCAUGUUCUUCACCUACAGCGUCUCCGUUAUCUCCACUAUUGAGAAGAGAUUUAAGCUGAAGAGUAAAGAAACUGGUAUCAUCCUCGCGGGCAAUGACAUCUCCCAAGUGUUGCUCGCCAUCUUCCUGAGUUACUACGGCACCUUCGGACACCGCCCCCGCUGGCUUGCCGUGGGCGCGCUUUUCACUGCCGCCUCCUGCUUCACCGCCUCCCUCCCGCACUUCUUCUACGGAGCGGGAACGGGUGCGGAGGCUGUAUUGGCGGCAGUGUCAGCUUCAAACGAGACAGGUUCUAAGUCCGCGGAGGAACUGUGCCACACGGGAAGUAAGGAAGACUGCAGCGACGACUACCGCGGCUCGGAGUACGUGGGGGUCAUGAUCUUGUUGUUCCUGUCGCAGUUCUUCGUAGGCAUCUCCAUCAGCCUCUUCUACAGCAUCGGUGUCUCCUACCUCGACGACAACAUCAACAAGAAGACCUACCCGCUUUACUAUACCCUGACCAUCCUGCUGCGCAUCCUGGGGCCCGUGCUGGGGUUCAUGUUGGGGGCGCGCAUGCUGUCCUACUGGAUCGACCCUUCCAAGGAACCCAAUAUCUCCAAGAAGGACCCGCGGUGGCUGGGCGCGUGGUGGCUCGGCCUCGUGUUCCUGGGCGGGGCUCUCGUGGUCUCUGCCAUCCCUCUCUUCUUCUUCCCACGUAAACUGCCGGCAACGCUGAGACGAGAAGGCAAGAGGUAUCUGCGCCAGGCCGAGAAGAACCGAAAGGCAGGAGGUAACAAGAGCCCGAUGCACUACCGCACCCUUCACAACAAGAAGAAGGAGCAAGCCAAACCCACCAUCAAGAACCUCGGCAAGGCCCUGAAGCGGCUGUUCACCAAUAAGAUCUGGUUCGGCUAUCUGUUCAGCAGCACCGUCACCCUGCUGGCACUCUCCGGCUACUGGAACUUCAAGCCCAAGUACCUGGAGAACCAGUUCAGGAAGAGCGCCACGGAGGCCAACUUUUACACGGGUCUGGCGAGCCUCGUGGUGUCCGUGGUGGGGUCACUGGUGAGUGGGUCGGUGAUGCGAUGGGGGCGCCCCGGGCCGAGGCUGGUCACUGGCUACAAUAUCUUCAUCACCCUCGUCACCUGCGUGGGCUACAUCAUCCUCAUGUUCCUAGGCUGUCCCAAGCUGGACGUGGUGGGCCCGGUGCAGGGAGCCCUGCCACCCGCGUGUUCCUCUGACUGCGAAUGCUCUGCUAAGUUCACACCAAUCUGCUCUCAGGACGGACAGACCCUUUUCUUCUCCCCAUGCUACGCUGGCUGCCUGGCGGACAAUAUUACGGCAAAACCUGUGGAGUAUAAUCAGUGCAAAUGCAUAAACAUCAACGCAAAGCCAGACAACACGUCACACAUGGCCUGGCCCCCGCCGCCCUCCACGCUGCCGCCGCACUCCAGCGACAUCCUGAUGCCGUCCGAGGAGUGGGGCACGGCUCAGCGUGGGUACUGUCCCGAGCCCUGCAACGCCUUCUUCUACUACCUAAUGACACAAAUCAUCAUCAAGACCAUCUCCUCCACGGGACACAUCGGCUCCAGCAUCGUCCUAUUGAGGGCAGUGUCUGAGGAGGACAAAGGCUUAUCUCUGGGCACCAUAACAGUGUUCAUCAGCCUUUUCGCCUUUAUUCCUGCACCGAUCAUCAUGGGCGCUAUCAUUGACUCGGCAUGCGUGGUGUGGGAGACGUCCUGUGGUGUGACGGGCAACUGUUGGCUCUACGAUUCUGAUCAUUUCCGUAGAGUUCUGCAUCUGGUCCCUGCAGUGUUGCUGUUCAUCUCUGUUGGUGGAGAGUUGAUCGUCUUCCUGAACAGUCACAAGCUCGACCUGUACGGUUUGAAAGACGACGAGGUGGAGGACGACGAAGAGGAAGACGGGAAGAAGAAGCAGGACGAGGAGGAGAACUCAGAGGAAGGGAUCCCGCUUAAGACAGACUCGCUCAUGGGAAGUGUGAUAACAUAGCGAAGGAGAGAUGAAGCAACUCAGGUAUAAAUAGGUGUAUAUAGGCAGGCAGUCGUUUUUCACACACACACACACACACACACACACACACACACACACACACACACACACACUAUCUAUGUACC